Molecule: ribosomal RNA, 1146 nt
Filed under: Triticum aestivum (bread wheat)
Lineage: Eukaryota; Viridiplantae; Streptophyta; Magnoliopsida; Poales; Poaceae
Description: partial small subunit ribosomal RNA
Source: RNAcentral
AUGGUUCUUCUCCAGGGAGCUCAUGAGCUCUGGCUAGGCCCCCUGCAGCUGUUGCUGCUGCUGCUGCUGCAAGUUGACGAGCUUGUGGUAUGCGCCAUUCUUGUUCUCGACCAGGUGCUGGUGAUCCCCCUGCUCGAUGAUCUUGCCGUCCUGGAUCACCGAGAUGACGUCGGCGUUCUUGAUCGUGGACAGCCGGUGCGCCACCAUCACGGUGGUCCGGUUCUUCAUCACCCUGUCCAGCGCCUGCUGCACCACGCGCUCCGACUCCACGUCCAGCGCGCUCGUCGCCUCGUCCAGGAGCAGGAUGGCCGGGUCCUUGACGAUGGCACGUGCGAUGGCGAUGCGCUGCUUCUGCCCGCCGGAGAGCUGCACGCCGCGCUCCCCGACCUUCGUCUGGUACCCCUCCGGCAGCGAGCUGAUGAAGGUGUGCGCGUUCGCCAGCUUCGCCGCCUCGAUGACCUCGGCCUCUGUCGCGCCGUCCUUGCCGUAGAGGAUGUUUUCGUAGAUUGUCGUCGCGAACAGCGCCGGCUCUUGCUGCACCAGGCCGAUGUGCCUCCUGAGCGACUUCAGCUUAAGCUUCUUGAUGUCCUUUCCUGCAAAACCCACCAUUGUACUUUGUUCAGCUCCGCUCAUCUGGAACAGAAGCUGUCAUGUUUGAAAUUUGAACAGCAAAAUACCAUCGAUCAAAACUUUUCCGGCGAUCGGGUCGUAGAAGCGGAGGAUGAGCGAAAGAACGGUGCUCUUGCCGGAGCCGCUCAUCCCGACGAGCGCCAUGCUCUUGCCGGCUUUCAUCAGGAGGUCGAGCCCUUUGAACACGGCCACCUCCGACCUCGACGGGUACCGGAAUUCAACGUCCCGCAGUUGGAUCACUCCCUCCACCUUCUUGAUGUCGUCGCCGGUAUCGAUCUCUACCUCGGUCUUCCUGUCCAGGAUGUCGAACACCGAGGACGCCAUCUGGUUCCCCUUGAUGAUGUCCGGCGCCAUCGCCAGCGUCUCGCCCAUUGCCAGCGCUGUCACUAUGAGCACCAUGAAGGACUUCAUCACGGACCUGAAGGUGGCCAACUCCUUGCUCAUCAGAUGCGAACCGUACCUGAAAUUUUCAGACAUUUCACCAGUUGCUCUGGGAGUACAGCAAAUUUAGACUGA